AGAGUUUGAUCAUGGCUCAGGGUUAACGCUGGCGGCGCGCAUAACACAUGCAAGUCGAGCGAGGGCUUAUCUCCCGCAAGGGAGGCAAGUUCCUAGCGGCGAACGGGUGAGUAACACGUGGGCAACCUUUCCUAUCGCGGGGGAUAACACCGGGAAACCGAUGCUAAUACCGCAUGUCGUCACCGGUCGCAUGGCCGGUGAAGAAAGCAGCAAUGCACGAUGGGGUGGGCCCGCGGCCUAUCAGCUAGUCGGUGGGGUAACGGCCUACUGAGGCGAUGACGGGUAGCUGGUCUGAGAGGACGACCAGCCACACGGGGACUGAGACACGGCCCCGACUCCUACGGGAGGCAGCAGUGAGGAAUCUUCCGCAAUGGGCGAAAGCCUGACGGAGCGACGCCGCGUGUGGGAUGAAGUCUUUCGGGAUGUAAACCACUGUCGGAGGGGAAGACAUCGACGGUACCCUCCAAGAAAGCCCCGGCUAACUACGUGCCAGCAGCCGCGGUAAUACGUAGGGGGCGAGCGUUAUCCAGAUUUACUGGGCGUAAAGCGCGUGUAGGCGGCUGGUUAAGUGUGAUGUGAAAUCUUCGGGCUCAGCCCGAAAACUGCAUUGCAAACUGGCCUGGCUAGAGUGCAGGAGAGGGAAGCGGAAUUCCAGGUGUAGCGGUGAAAUGCGUAGAUAUCUGCAGGAACACCCGUGGCGAAGGCGGCUGACUGGAUCGCAACUGACACUGAGGAACGAAAGCUAGGGGAGCAAACAGGAUUAGAUACCCUAGUAGUCC
RNAcentral lists this ribosomal RNA (779 nucleotides) under uncultured bacterium. RNAcentral describes it as "bacterial SSU rRNA". It matches the Rfam family "Bacterial small subunit ribosomal RNA", at positions 8 to 796 of the family's 1533-position model. The record is from RNAcentral.